Molecule: long non-coding RNA, 240 nt
Filed under: Mytilus galloprovincialis (Mediterranean mussel)
Lineage: Eukaryota; Metazoa; Mollusca; Bivalvia; Mytilida; Mytilidae
Source: RNAcentral
GUUCUGUUUUCUAAUUAUUAAAUGGUUCAUUGUAAAUAUUACAAUGUAUUAUAUGUAGAUAGCCAUUUGCUAAUGAUGGUAUUUUUGUUAAUUGAAUAUCACAACAUUUGGAUAGUUUUUCAACUGUUAGGUUUUUUUUACUUUGUUCUGGAUUUAAUACUUUGGAUACCACUGGUAUAGCAAUGAGAACAUUUUGCACUAUACAUAUAGAACACAACUACCAUAUGAAUGUGUCGGUCC